UACGUAGGGGGCAAGCGUUGUCCGGAUUUAUUGGGCGUAAAGAGCGUGUAGGCGGCCAGGUAGGUCUGCUGUGAAAACUCGAGGCUCAACCUCGAGACGCCGGCGGAAACCAUCUGGCUAGAGUCCGGAAGAGGAGAGUGGAAUUCCUGGUGUAGCGGUGAAAUGCGCAGAUAUCAGGAAGAACACCCGUGGCGAAGGCGGCUCUCUGGGACGGUACUGACGCUGAGACGCGAAAGCGUGGGGAGCGAACAGG
Molecule: ribosomal RNA, 253 nt
Filed under: uncultured bacterium
Lineage: Bacteria
Description: partial 16S ribosomal RNA
Rfam family: Bacterial small subunit ribosomal RNA
Source: RNAcentral